RNAcentral lists this ribosomal RNA (252 nucleotides) under uncultured bacterium. Its description in RNAcentral is "partial 16S ribosomal RNA". It matches the Rfam family "Bacterial small subunit ribosomal RNA", at positions 524 to 776 of the family's 1533-position model. The record is from RNAcentral.
UACGUAGGGGGCAAGCGUUGUCCGGAUUUAUUGGGCGUAAAGAGCGUGUAGGCGGUUAGGUAGGUCCGUUGUGAAAACUCGAGGCUCAACCUCGAGACGCCGAUGGAAACCAUCUGACUAGAGUCCGGAAGAGGAGAGUGGAAUUCCUGGUGUAGCGGUGAAAUGCGCAGAUAUCAGGAAGAACACCCGUGGCUAAGGCGGCUCUCUAGUACGUGACUGACGCUGAGACGCGAAAGCGUGGGAGCGAACAGG